GGGGUCGUAGCUCAGUUGGUAGAGCACCACAAUGGCAUUGUGGGGGUCAUCGGUUCGAACCCGUUCGGCUCCACCA
RNAcentral lists this transfer RNA (76 nucleotides) under Verrucomicrobiota bacterium. Its description in RNAcentral is "Verrucomicrobia bacterium (freshwater metagenome) tRNA-Ala". It matches the Rfam family "tRNA". Rfam says of the family: Transfer RNA (tRNA) molecules are approximately 80 nucleotides in length. Lineage: Bacteria; Pseudomonadati; Verrucomicrobiota. The record is from RNAcentral. RNAcentral also lists the same sequence under 3 other names.